Long non-coding RNA from Manis pentadactyla (Chinese pangolin), 588 nucleotides. RefSeq lists it as uncharacterized. The transcript is spliced from 3 exons. NCBI's taxonomy places the organism in Eukaryota, Metazoa, Chordata, Mammalia, Pholidota, Manidae. The record is from RefSeq and is a predicted model, not a curated record.
CAAGAUGUCUUAAACAUCCUAAUUGUCACCAGGGACUGGAUUGUUCCUUAACUAAUUGUUUAGAUCGGCUAAUGUACAUCCAUCAUCCACAGAGGGCAGGCAGUCCCAAGCAUCCUGCAAUCUGGAUAGAACUCCUAUCCUGACUUUAAACACAAUUGUUUGGGUGAUGAGGAGUCAGCAGACCAAAAAGUCUACCCACGGGUGAAGGCACAAGACAGUGAACUGUGAACUGAGGACCAGCACUGAGUGAGAAAGCCAUUUCCCCGCAUACCAAACCACACAGGUACAGAAGGUCCCUGGGAUUUACAAGCUCUUACAGAGAGGAAUGAAGCGAUGCCUCAGAGCAAAGUCAAUGUGCUUUCCAUGCAAGACAGCAGACAUCCUCUCCUGGCAGUCAUCGAUUUUUGCAAUUUCUCUUUAAUGUUAAGUCCUACAAGCUGUUGGAAAUAAAUAAUCAUGCCUUUUUCUUGGCAUGAAAAUGUCCAUUCAUCCACCAAAUAUUCAAUUUCACUUCCACCAUUAGCAGAUUUUCUUUGUGAGUAAAAAGGUAGCUUCUGUGUCUCUUUAGCUUCAGCUGCAUCCCAGCUG